UCAGUUUAAAAGAAUUUUAAGGAUAGAAUAAAAAAUGAGAGAUAGUGUUUAAUACAAUAUAGUCCACGUGCAGGCGUGGUAAUUUGGACAUUUAUAGACAACAAAACGAGUUUGUGAUUUCAUAAUCAUUUGAGGAGAUUUUAAAUUGUUGUAGUGAUUAUGUCAAUGUGUGAAUUUGCCAUGACGCGUGUGCUGUGCGCGCCGAACACGUGCCCUUUUUGGCUUGUUCGACUUCAUGCGGCGCUGCAAGAACCGACAGCUGCAUGACGUCAAAGUACCGCGAGAACGAUUCGAGAACUCAUACGAAGUGUAAUUUCGUCUCGCUCUCGCGGCACUUUAACGUCAUCCGUCUGUCAAUUCUAGCGGGGCCGCAAGCAGGAAGUCGAACAGCCUUCUUUCUCAAUACGGAUUACCAUGAGGUGGGACUGACGAAGCUCCUCUUUCACGGGUUUCUUUACUGUUUUCAGGAGUGAUCAAAAUAACCUCUAUAAUAGAAGAAAAGCUGAAGAUUUCAAAAUUUUCUGAAGGGAGCCACAGACAGAGAUGUGAACUCAGGCAGGUUGAGAGCAUAUUAACUCACUUUUUUCACAAUAUUACCAUGAAUCUUGUCGUUUUUCUGCGUUUAUAGCAAUUAUUCCAGGAAGGUUUUAACAUCCAAACGUGAGUUGCACCAUAUGAGCAAUAUUAAAUGAACAAGUAAACCUAAAAACAUAGAUUCUGUUAUAUUUUGUAUACUUUAAUUUUCUUUUCAGUGUUUCACAUCCUUUUAAUCAAUAUUGAUUGCUUUGUGACAAAUUGCAUGUUAUGUUUGUAGAUUUUCCAUGCUGAUAUCCGUGCAGCAGAGUUGAAGCAGACCUGUCAGAAAACAUCUCUAAGGUGCUAUGAAUCUCAUAACUAGAGACACAUCAUAAGAUAACUAGAGCUUACGGCUCUGUUUGGAUCCAGCCG
Molecule: non-coding RNA, 948 nt
Organism: Misgurnus anguillicaudatus (oriental weatherfish)
Lineage: Eukaryota; Metazoa; Chordata; Actinopteri; Cypriniformes; Cobitidae
Source: RefSeq, a predicted model, not a curated record